This 942-nucleotide ribosomal RNA is filed under the name uncultured bacterium. RNAcentral describes it as "bacterial SSU rRNA". It matches the Rfam family "Bacterial small subunit ribosomal RNA", at positions 8 to 996 of the family's 1533-position model. The record is from RNAcentral.
AGAGUUUGAUCAUGGCUCAGGAUGAACGCUGGCGGCGUGCUUAACACAUGCAAGUCGAACGAACCUUCGGGUUAGUGGCGGACGGGUGAGUAACGCGUGAGAAUCUGCCCUCAGGAGGGGGAUAACGGUUGGAAACGACCGCUAAUACCCCAUAUGCCGAGAGGUGAAAUGAAAUUCGCCUGAGGAUGAGCUCGCGUCUGAUUAGCUAGUUGGUAGGGUAAAGGCCUACCAAGGCAUUGAUCAGUAGCUGGUCUGAGAGGAUGAUCAGCCACACUGGGACUGAGACACGGCCCAGACUCCUACGGGAGGCAGCAGUGGGGAAUUUUCCGCAAUGGGCGCAAGCCUGACGGAGCAACGCCGCGUGAGGGAUGAAGGCCUCUGGGCUGUAAACCUCUUUUAUCAAGGAAGAAAAACUGACGGUACUUGAUGAAUAAGCCACGGCUAAUUCCGUGCCAGCAGCCGCGGUAAUACGGGAGUGGCAAGCGUUAUCCGGAAUUAUUGGGCGUAAAGCGUCCGCAGGCGGUUUUACAAGUCUGCCGUUAAAGCGUGGAGCUCAACUCCAUUUCAGCGAUGGAAACUGUAAGACUCGAGUGUGGUAGGGGCAGAGGGAAUUCCCGGUGUAGCGGUGAAAUGCGUAGAUAUCGGGAAGAACACCAGUGGCGAAAGCGCUCUGCUGGGCCAUAACUGACGCUCAUGGACGAAAGCCAGGGGAGCGAAAGGGAUUAGAUACCCCUGUAGUCCUGGCCGUAAACGAUGAACACUAGGUGUCGGGGGAAUCGACCCCCUCGGUGUCGUAGCCAACGCGUUAAGUGUUCCGCCUGGGGAGUACGCACGCAAGUGUGAAACUCAAAGGAAUUGACGGGGGCCCGCACAAGCGGUGGAGUAUGUGGUUUAAUUCGAUGCAACGCGAAGAACCUUACCAGGGCUUGACAUCCUGCGAAU